This 676-nucleotide long non-coding RNA is filed under the name Anser cygnoides (Swan goose). RNAcentral describes it as "lncRNA (ENSACDG00005016747.1)". The record is from RNAcentral. Lineage: Eukaryota; Metazoa; Chordata; Aves; Anseriformes; Anatidae.
AUGUGGAAAGGGGGAUCUUCCUCAAAAAGUGGGCAAAAAGAAUUUCUAUCAGUAUAUCAAAGGGACUUCAUUUCAGCAUUGCUUAUUGUGUACACCCUCACUGCAGGACUCUGCUUGUUUUGUCAUCGAUCUAUGUCAGAUUAUGAAACACUAUGUUGAGUACAGUAACAAGAACUACACUUUCAAGAUAGCAAAGACUUUAGUUGUUCUGCAUAAGAAUUAAUGUACAAAUGUGAAGGGAAGUAAGAAGUGUUUAGUUUGAACAAUAGUUUAGUUGAAACAAUAGACCUCCUUAAACAUCCAUUGCUGAUUGAAAUCCUCAGUAAGGCAAGCCAUUAGUCUUUCUCAGCAUAGCUGUGCUGUUGUACAACUUUUACUUCUGGAAAAAUUAAGACAUUGUUUCGUGUACAGGAAAGGUAAAGGGAUAUUGAGCCAGUACUUCUUUUUCCCUCUCUGAAAAGCCAACUAAGAAUCCUUUCAGACAUCCCAGCCACAGGCUGUUUCUAACCUACCUCUAUAUUUCAUGCCUAUCUAGGCUUCUAGAGUCUCUGAACUACUCUAAUUCAAUCUAAUGGUCUCUGGGCUAUUAAGUACAAUUGAUUACCUUAUCCUGAAGCACUGUCACUUUCCAGGGGAUUUACAAUAAACCAAGAAAAACAACAUAUAACGAAAUCCA